Schizosaccharomyces pombe (fission yeast) is the source of this 582-nucleotide non-coding RNA. NCBI's taxonomy places the organism in Eukaryota, Fungi, Ascomycota, Schizosaccharomycetes, Schizosaccharomycetales, Schizosaccharomycetaceae. The record is from the annotation of a GenBank genome assembly.
GAGGAGCUUAUGUAACCGUGUAAUUUCGAGCAUGAAAUGAAUGAAACUAACAAGAUAUUAAGGUCCUUACACUGAACACAUUGCGUGAAGAAUAAUGACAAUGAAUUUAAAGUUAGCAACAACAUGUUGACAUUGCAAUAUUACAUACGUUUUGUAGCGAUUGAACCUGAGCAUAAUUGGGGCAUCAAUAUAUACAAGCAAAAAGAACGGACGUUUGAGCAAUGCACUUAACAAACGUGGACUAUGAAUUCCAUUAAUUACAAAUCUUUCGCGCCAUCUUGGAGUGAGAUAGCUAAUAAGAUCGUCAACGCUGCCAAGGACUAAAUCGCCAGUUCUAUAUAUAUAUUCUCCAUCCUCGUUUAGUUGUGGUAAUCGAAAAAUAGCAUUGAAACCAUGCUUUGUCUCAAGGUAUUCAACAACGGCAUCUUUUCCACUACAUAAUGGCCCUGUAAGACCAACAGUUGGCAUAUUUAUUUGCUUAAUAAAUCAAACAAAGCUACUUAAGCUUAAGAAACGUAUUUCAGUUUGAUUAUCUCCCCAAAUAGUUAGAGAUAGAUCGGUUUUAACGUACUCACAUACCUA